GGAAUUUUCCGCAAUGGGCGAAAGCCUGACGGAGCAACGCCGCGUGGGUGAAGAAGGAUUUCGGUCUGUAAAGCCCUUUCAGUCGGGACGAGACGAAGACGGUACCGACAGAAGAAGCAUCGGCUAACUACGUGCCAGCAGCCGCGGUAAUACGUAGGAUGCAAGCGUUAUCCGGAAUUAUUGGGCGUAAAGCGUACGUAGGCGGUUUACCAAGUCUGGAGUUAAAGACCGAGGCUCAACCUCGGGAGUGCUCUGGAAACUGGUAGGCUGGAGGACGGCAGAGGAAAGUGGAAUUCCCAGUGUAGCGGUGAAAUGCGUAGAUAUUGGGAGGAACAACAGUGGAGAAAGCGACUUUCUGGGCCGUUCCUGACGCUGAGGUACGAAAGCCAGGGGAGCAAACG
This 401-nucleotide ribosomal RNA is filed under the name uncultured bacterium. RNAcentral describes it as "bacterial SSU rRNA". It matches the Rfam family "Bacterial small subunit ribosomal RNA", at positions 358 to 774 of the family's 1533-position model. The record is from RNAcentral.